Dermacentor albipictus is the source of this 3921-nucleotide RNA transcript. RefSeq lists it as uncharacterized. The record is from RefSeq and is a predicted model, not a curated record. NCBI's taxonomy places the organism in Eukaryota, Metazoa, Arthropoda, Arachnida, Ixodida, Ixodidae.
CGUGUGAACCUGUCAUAAUCGCUUGUUCUUCUUGUUAGCACUCGAAAACGGUUGACGUGCCUGGUCUAUCUACCGCGUGGAUCGCAAGCUCUGCACCAUCUGACGUCAUCAACCCACCAGACACCUGACUCUUGCACGUGCUGAGCUGGCAUCGUUCAACGAGGGUCCAGCGCCGACCAAUCAAGGCAUCACACGAAGAACUGGAAACUGUAAAACCGAGCGUUCCCCCACGAUCGGCUGCAGUCCGGCGGAGCGUGUGAACCUGUCAUAAUCGCUUGUUCUUCUUGUUAGCACUCGAAAACGGUUGACGUGCCUGGUCUAUCUACCGCGUGGAUCGCAAGCUCUGCACCAUCUGACGUCAUCAACCCACCAGACACCUGACUCUUGCACGUGCUGAGCUGGCAUCGUUCAACGAGGGUCCAGCGCCGACCAAUCAAGGCAUCACACGAAGAACUGGAAACUGUAAAACCGAGCGUUCCCCCACGAUCGGCUGCAGUCCGGCGGAGCGUGUGAACCUGUCAUAAUCGCUUGUUCUUCUUGUUAGGUCUUCAAGCAUCCACCGCAAACACGAGGCGCGUCUGCUUCAUCGCAAUGGCCCCGGGUCUGAAACGGAGUCAACCUGGCUAGUAGUGAUGGGCCUGAGGUCGCAGAGGGAAUGUAUGGAGAAGCCACAUCAGGUGUCAUCGGUGAUCGGGCGAAGUGCCCAACGGCCAAGGCACACCAACGGUUCUUUCAAGGAGGAGAGCCAACAAAGGGCGUCAUGGACACAGCCGGUUCGCAGCUCGUAGCAUGGUCGGUACAACGUAUGGAGUGGCGUCUACGCUGGCCCACUGGAAUAGCUGGGCCUGCUCGCUAUCUGAUACCGCGGCCGCCGAGGGGUCCCGUGACGAGCCCACUCGCCGUCACACCACAAGCAGUGUUAAGGAAUUAAGGCGCUUUAUCUCACCGGCUUCACUUUAUCGCCGCCAGCGCCCCUCUGCUCCUUCGGAACAGAGGGGCGCGAGUGCUUGAGAAGGAGUGAGUGCGGUGAAUACCAUAAUCGAAAUAUCUGCGCUCGUUCUCAGGCAUUUUCAAAACUUAUUUCGGUACUAUAUUCUUAGGAUGUAUCAUACUCACUCAAAGGCGGUUUUCAGGCUUCAAAGAAAUGUGGUUCAGGGCACCUUUAACAAAAGGAAAUAUAUUUUAGAAUUGAGAGAUACGUUAUCUUCCACCAACCCCGGGGCAAAAUAAGACAGGUUGAGUAACCAGGUGCAUGGGUCCGCACGCUGGCUUCGUGAGCACCCUCAUUACAGCUCGUGCACAGAAUUCCUACACAGCCUCCACGACUUGCAUACCAAGCACUGGCAGUGCCAUUGGGGGAGAACCAUGUCGAUGGCAGAAUACCUAUUUUUCACAUCCUCGUGCACUCAACUGGUGCGCACGUCUAGGUUUUGUUAAGCUUCCUCUGAUUUCUAGUCUUCAGGGUGAGGGAGACUGCAAAUUUAGUGGGAGCCUUUGCCAAUGAGGUGGGCUUGUUGGAAGAUGGGGUGCGAUGUGACCUCCCUUCUGCGUUAUUUUCUUAGUCUGGUACUGUUGUUGUUACUAGAGAAAUUUCAUGGAAACUAUUAGCACUUUAGCAGGCUUUAGUAGCAGCUUUGAGAAGCGCCUCCGGGGCGUAAACAAAAAACUUGUCAUUUUCGAAAAAAACAUAUCAUCAUCGACAAAGGUUGCACUGGAUGUCUUUCACCUAUAUGGCGGUACUGUCGUUGGCUAAAAUUUGGGACACAUUUAUCUUUUGGGGACGAUUGGCGGCAUGACUGCACUUAACAAUCUAUUUUGCAAUAGCUGUGUAACAUGUAAUAGUAGGUUUUGUACGUUACAAUAAUUAUCAUGAAGAACGGCAUAUACUGAACGACUCGUACUCACUGAUGCAAGGGUGUAAGCUUGCGCAAUGCUGUUAACAGUUCAUGCCGGUGUAACGCGCAGCGAAUGAAUCGCUUUAGGAAAAGUACAGAGCCGAAAGAUGGCUGUUGCUCCUCUGCACAUUUCCUAAAGCCAUUCAUGCGCUGCGCACAACUCAGUUACCAAAGUCAAAGGGUUUCAUUGUAUAGCUCCACAUGUGCAAUGACCGAAAUUGGCGCCACACGUGUUCAUUGACAAGCAGUAGAUAAUCACUGGCGCAAACCCAGUUGCCCUAGUCAGCACGAAAGAAGCUUCUUGAAGAGCGGCGCUUAAACUAUUUCACCUACCCAAUGACUGAAGUUAACGUCAAAGAGGAUCAUUGAUGAGUGGUGCAUACCCAGUGUCACACAACCAUUGACCCAAGCUGUCCGACCGUUGGUCUCAAACCCAAGUCCCGUAAUAGUUAAGUCCAGUGCUUAUGUCAUUCGACCUGCUCCCCACUUCCCACUACCCACUGACGCGAAUCAGCGGGAAUGUGGUCAGCCACGGGCAGACAUAUAGAGAGCCCGCAAACUGGGUAAAGUUUACAAAGCAUGCUAAUUGCAAUAAAUGACAAAAUUGUCAUAAAGGUACCAUAUGAAAAGUGCUCUAUAUAAGUGAUUCUAGGGCUUACGAAAGCCUCCUUGGCGCGUUCUGAACCUGUCUGAAAGUAUUAAUCAAGUGAUUUUAGCAUACUGUAUGUUAAGGCACAUUCAGCAAAAAUAUUGUAAAGGUGUAGCUAUCGUGAACGGAAGCGAUAAAACAAAAACUUUCGUUCAUUUUGAGCAGUACUCGGACACCCUUCUACUUAUUCGAAACAUUUGUUGAUAUGAUUUCUGACCCUUUCGGAAGACAUCAAACGCAUGGGCAUUCAAACCAACCUUGUUUCAUCCAAUAUUGAGUUUAGUCCCACGGCACAUAAUAGUGAAAGUUGCUGGGUAACAAAAAAAAAUUAACGUUAAAGAUAGUGAACAUGCAAAGUUAGUGAAAGCGUAACCUUUAUUGCGCGUUUUUAUAGGAAGUGAAAUGAGUUAUGGCAGGUUCCACAUAAAAAUUGAAGCGCUUUCAUAUGAAUUAGUAUUUCUCGCAGCUUCGGUGAAACUCAAGUGCACUCAUGUCAACGAAAAGCAGGCCAUGGCCAAACCACCUCAGCUACCUUUUGCCUAGGUUGGGCUGUUUUUUUUUCUAUUGACUAUUUUCUGCAGCCGUGGUACGUGCUCGUUUUGAAGUACGCUGAUACCUCACCUGGAUAUCCAGUUUUUCCUCUUUUCGUAUAUUAAACAAAAAUAUCGAGCUGAGAUUGACAAUUUGGCCCGUCUCUCACGCGCACGUUUUCAAUUACCGCGAUAGCAUUGUCACGGCUGCUGUGCUUGUCAUAACACCCUGUUACUGACGCACUCGCAUCGUGGCGACAAUGCUGGAACCUCUGGGGGAAAUUGAAUGUCUUUCGCGAAAUGUACCGGCCGUAGCCUCCAUGUCCAGGUGUUCGUGCUGGUUUUCUCUCGCUUGUGGUUUAUGUAUAACGUACCAAACCAUAGCACGGCUCAUGCAAUUGCGGGUCUGAGUAAAAAUAAGUCGUGUUUUCCUGUUUCAUACGAAGAGAUAUUUUUGUGCUAUCGUAUAGCAUAAGCAUAAGCUGAACCUUAACCACAAGCUCCUGUUGGCGGCGAGGCAGCGCCAAGAGCUUGAAAGUCGUCUUUCGCGAGUAUCCCCCGAGAAGGACGUUGGAGUUGAAGUGCUCUGUGUGAAUUAAAGUUUACUGCCUAUGACUGAUUAGGUAAAUGACAUUGUACUUUUUUAUCUGAGUCAACUUGCUCUAAGAGCUUUGGCAUGCCGACGCUGGAAGUUCUGUCAAUCGUGCGGUUUCCAGCAGAGAAAUAUAAUUAGUGAAGGAGGAACCCCAUACUCAUGAUUUUCCCAUUAUUCAGGCGAUAUAUAGUUCCAGGUUUUUUUAAUUGAUUUGCCACUGUGGAACAUUCUUCUCUAUUUCUCUACUUUUCA